UCUCAGGUGGCUGACUUGGCAGAGCGGGGCGUGAAGGAAGGAAGAGGCUGUGGGACAAGGAGCCGCUGGCGUUUACAGUAGUCAAGAAGUCUCCAGAGGUUGUGACUCUAACCACAAGUUGCUUAACAACACUGUAUGAUCCUUCUCCUUCACAUCCAGCCCCAGCCACGCUGGUAAAUCCCUCUCUGAGUCGAGAGGGGGGAUGCAGGUGCAGGGUGGCGGUGUUGGGCAAAGGAGCAGCAGGAGGACUGGCAGAAGGGGUGUUUCACUGCCCCCUGAAAUUGCAGGAGUCGUGAUGAGGAAAGACAGCUCCUGGCUCAGGUCUCAGUCCUGGAUAGGAGAAGGCUGGCCCAGCAGUUGAUCAGCACCCAGGAGUCACACGGAUUGCCAACACCCCCGAGCAGCCCCCGCUCAGGCUGGAUUUCCACUCUGCUUAAAUGACUUCUGCCCAGGGACUCAGCCUCCAAAAAACCCCAAAAACAAGUGCUGGACACCAGAUACACCAGAUACAAGCUCGUGGUGGGUGGUGUUUUGCAGGACCCCUCCCUGCUGAUGGACUGCACAUUUGUUCCUCUGUGGCUGGAUGGAGGGACAGAAGGUUACAGGAAAGGCACAAUACAGCACGAUACAGAAUGAGCCAAAAUGUCAGUGCUAAACAGGCACAACAGAGAGCCAAAGAGAGGUGGGAAUGGAGCAGAAAGAUCAGAAUUAUGGACUAAUUAAUGAACCAGCAGUACUGGAAAUGGCAGCAAGCCGUCAGACCUUCGUCUCUUACCAGGAACAAUGAAAAUAUCUUAAUUUCUGGCGAUUUUGAUGGAAAUUGAGUUAUGCAACAUUGAUAUUGUUCACAGUGAUUUAAUUAAGAGUCUGUCAGCCUAAUUAACCUGGUAUUUAGCCUUUUAUAGGAGACAGUUAUAAAAAUGUGCCCUUCACUAAAGCCCAGCAUUCUAGAAAUGGCCCCAGUCCUAGAAGGGUCACCCUUUUGGCACAGCAGGCUCUUGAGACCAUCCCACUAAGGUGCUAAGACACCUCUGAAAAGUUUCCAAGUUCAUGCUGCAUUCCUUGCCUAGACAGCCCUCUCCUUGCAGUUUGUGGGAAUCUGGGGUGUCUGAGGAAUGCAGAGUCAGGCAUCCUAGCAGCAUCCCAUCACUGAAAUGAUUUCACAGAGAAUUAAUCCCCAAUCCUGACACUUCUUGUCGUGUGAGAUUCAAAUCUCUGCCUUUCCAUGCUCAUUGCAGCUCAGCAAAUGCAAAGACUAGACAAUGGACUUGCACCACUCUGAACAUUUUGGUUUCUGGGCUGGAUGGUGACAGAAGCAGUUCACUAUGUGGAGGAGCAGGCUCCUCUGGAUGUCAGCAAGAGCCUAUGGGUAGAGCAUGCCACAAACCUCAGCUGCUGUCAUGUACAGCCCUAUUCACUGGGGCCACAGCGCCUCUAGCACUGCCUCCUGCAGCUGUGGGACAGGCCUUUCUCCUCCUUGCCUUGUGGCAGCAAGCACACACCAGCCUGGAGGCACCAGGGAAAUCAGUCAGGUCUCUAGUGGGCUCUCUCGGAGGGUAUUAUAGAUAAGAUUCAAAUAGAGGCUGAAAAAUUAAUAUAAAUGAGAGCAACAACCAAUACUCCCAGAAAAUCCCAUGUUCUGCAACUGCUAUUGCUUCAUCAGUGACAGGAAAGAGCAGUGUUCUAAAAUAGAAGUUCACUUAAUUGAAUUUCCCUUAAGGCACAGAAAAUAAGCUUCCAUGAAGUGGUAUCAAUUGUUCGACAAUAACAUGUUCUCCCAGCUGAAAACUGGGUUAGGAAUUUGUAUUGUGUUUUCACAAAACAGAAUUCCUAGCCCAGUUUCUUCCUCCUCCUUGAGAUAACCAGGCAGAUUCCACCUCAGUGAUCACAGAGUCAGACUAUGUGGGUCAGUCAGUGCACAGCCAAUGUCCAGCUUCUCCACACUCCUCCUAACAGAGCCUGCUGGAUCCACCACGGGGCUUUAGAUGCACGAGGCCAUUAAAGGAGCUCUUUGCUUAAACACCUUUGAAUUCAAGAGGUUUUUUUGUAAGUACCUCUGCAUCUUUAUCCUCUGUGCUGGGGCAUGAGGGUCACGACUGCGUCAAGCCCAGGCGAGGUCAGCUGCACACAGGACUCACAUCCUUGUCCUUCCUGGGUUAGGGGCAGGCAGACACCUCAGGGUGCUGAAAAAUACAAAGGAGCACUCAAAAGCUACAGAGCAAUGAGGACUCACCUUUUUCUGGUAACACAGAAAGCGUUAACAACCAACACUCACGGAUUUACGUGUGAAAUAUUAUCUUUCCGAAAGUUUGUCAUAAAUGUGGCUCAGAACGCAGGGAUGGCCACGCUUUCCAAAUGUGUGCAGCAGGAAGAAUGUUUCCUAGGGAAUAAGGUCAAAAUAUUAGCAUUCAACUGAAUCUGUAUGGGCCAAAUUAAUGAAGUUACUGCUCCAUCACAGCCUUCCAUAGGUGAAACCUGAGAAAGCGAUUGUAUCAACAGCACAUCAAUCCAUGGCACUGGUCAGCAGGACAGAAAAACCAGCCUCCAGUUUCAAAGUUUCGUUCAGCUUUGGCACAGAAAGGUUAACUGGUGUUUAAGCAAUGCUUCUGAGCAGAUAAUGUUAAUUAAAUGUUUGCAUUCAAAUC
This is a long non-coding RNA of Haemorhous mexicanus (house finch), 2645 nucleotides long. RefSeq lists it as uncharacterized. NCBI's taxonomy places the organism in Eukaryota, Metazoa, Chordata, Aves, Passeriformes, Fringillidae. The transcript is spliced from 2 exons. The record is from RefSeq and is a predicted model, not a curated record.